This 254-nucleotide ribosomal RNA is filed under the name uncultured bacterium. RNAcentral describes it as "partial 16S ribosomal RNA". It matches the Rfam family "Bacterial small subunit ribosomal RNA", at positions 524 to 776 of the family's 1533-position model. The record is from RNAcentral.
UACGAGGGGAGCAAGCGUUGUUCGGAUUUACUGGGUGUAAAGGGCGCGUAGGCGGUCGUGACAAGUCACUUGUGAAAUCUCCGGGCUUAACUCGGAACGGUCAAGUGAUACUGUCGGACUAGAGUACAGAAGGGGCAACUGGAAUUCUCGGUGUAGCGGUGAAAUGCGUAGAUAUCGAGAGGAACACCUGCGGCGAAGGCGGGUUGCUGGGCUGAUACUGACGCUGAUGCGCGAAAGCCAGGGGAGCGAACGGG